Molecule: long non-coding RNA, 2299 nt
Filed under: Capsicum annuum
Lineage: Eukaryota; Viridiplantae; Streptophyta; Magnoliopsida; Solanales; Solanaceae
Description: long non-coding RNA (CANN_LNC001819)
Source: RNAcentral
AGUCAUGUUUCUUUCCCUUGGUAAGGUAAUUGAAUAACAGGUUGUUGCUCACAUGGAAAAGCCUCCUUAAGGUUUGGUUAGGUUAGUCAAUCCGGCCGAGACGCGUUCGUUGACAAAACCGCCGCAAAAACCCUUGAAAGGCCGACUCUUUAACAGUUCCUCCUCCACCUAAUUUCCUUUUACAUAUUCACCAUACAACAGUUAAGCUCGUAUAUACAUGUAUAUUUUCUGCUAUGCUGAAUUUUAUCUGCAAACUUUGAUGCAUCACUUGUGCUUAUCAUGUAAUUUUUUGUUGAUUGAUUUGCUUUUCUUUUUGUGUGCGUGUGUGUGUGGAUUUUGAUUCUCUUGCAGCAUAUUAUUCAACCUUUUAACUGAAAAUUUCUAUUUUAUGCAAAUUUAGAAUUUUUUUGUUAGAUUGUGUUUGAGAGUUUUAGAAUUCUAAAGGGUAAUAGUGGAAAGUAGUUAUUAAUUUAUGUCCUUGAAUGUUUUUUCUUAAGGGGUGUAUAUUGACCUAAGAAAACCUUGUUUACUUUUGUAAUUUUGUUAUUGGAUAGGAAGUAAAUCACCCUUUACCAUAUUGUUGCGGAUUUCCACUUACGCAGUUGUCUUCUUGUAACUUAAAAUGUGAUAUUUUCAUCUCAAUGUCAUGGAUAUGAAUUCUAAAGCUCGGUUCAUUGAAGGUUGAUUUCAUUUAUGAAAACCUCCAAAAAUAGUUACUUUAUCGUAAUUUGCAAUGAAGUUAUCGAAACUUGGACGAGGUAAACUGGUGGUUCUAUCUGAGCAGGUUUUUGGAUAGAGAUUAUGUGUUGUAAUAUGGUAUUUCCAUCUCUAAUACAUGUCAUAAUAGUAUGUUGAGGUACUAAUGGAAUUGAUUGGAAAAACACAAUAGAGUAGUCUAGCUGUAAAUUUUGGAUUUGAGGCUGAAAAUUCUCGUGUAUAUUUUCUUAGUCUAAGGAUUUGAAGGGACACUUAAUACGAUUUUUAAUGGAAGACAAUGUUUUGUAAUUCAAUGGGAAGUUUGGGGAGAGGUGAUUAGACGAGACUUGGCGCAACUUCAAGUUAUCGAGAACAUGACCUUAGAUAGGAGAGUGUGGAGGUAUCGUGUAUUUGGGUAGAAGGUUAGUAGGUAGGAGUGUGUUCUCUUGCUUUUAGAGGGAUUUAGUCUUGGUGGUGCCUAUUGUAGUAUUAUCUUUAUUCUCGUGUGUCUUGCUUUUGAUUUCUAUAUCAUGUUUUGUUUAUUGUGUUUAGGUUAUCCACUAUCGUGGUUGUUACUAAUCCCUUAUUAGUUGUUAUGUUUCUUUUUUUCCUGUUUCAUACCUACUUUGAUUUGUUGUACUCAGCUGAAGGUACUCCGAAAACAGCCUCUCUACUCCUAUGAAGUAGGGACAAGGUCUGCCUACACUCUAUCCUUUUCAGACUCCACUUGUAUGAUGUUGUUGAAUUGUUGAGUGUGAUUGGUUCGAGAGAGAUCAGUUGGAUGAUGGGUCUUUUUAUUUUUGGCACUGGGCUGGACUAGCAAUCUGUAAAGAAGGCCCUAAUAGGGAAGGUGGAUAAAUUGCAGAAAAUUACGUGAGUCUUUUGACCCUUUCGCGAAGAAGAAAACAUCGUAUUUCCCUCCCUUUUAAGUAGACAAAAAAUCUCAAAGCUUUCUGUCCAAAGUUUCCUAAAAAUGUUUUCUUCAUCCUCGAGACACACUAGGUUCAUUCUAAACAAUUCGUCGGAGGAAGAGUUUUUGUUGUUAAAGUGGUUAAUGUGCUCCCACGACUCGACAUAGCGUUACUUAGGCUGGAUAGAAGCGAUUGAAUGAACCGUAGACACACGUAAUGUUUGUUUUUGUUGGGGAUGAAUUAUUUGUUCUUGGAAGUUGCUAUCCAAAAUCGUAUCAACAAGGAGUUAUUUGUGGAGUUGGGAGGUUCAUUGAUUCGCGGUCUCUUUCAAACAACGGUGGGUACAAUUUCAUCCCAAGGGUGCAUCACUUUUAUCUUGCCUAAGCAACGCUAUGUCGAGUCGUGCAGUUCUUUAACAACAAAAACUCUUUCCUCUGACGAAUUAUUUAAAAGGGAUCUAGCGUGUCUCAAGAAUGAAGAAAAUGUUUUAGAGAACCUGAACAAAAAACUUUUAAGUUUUUUUUGUCUAGUUAAAAGGAAUGGAAAUACGUUGUUUGCUUCGCGAAAGAGUCAAAAACUCAUGUUUCUGUAAUUUAUCCACCUUUUCUAUCAAGGCCUUCUUUACGCUACUGACUACUUGUAGGAUUCAUCGUGACAUAAGGCUAGCGGAGAAAAUUAUGGAGUUCCUAGUC